GGGAAGAGCAGUACCCGCCAGCACGUAGGAGCCGCUGCCCACGCCCCUUGCGCUUCCUCGCAGCCUGUGAGGGGCUGGACUUCAAAUCCCGGCAAGCUCUGGGCAGGCAAGACUGCUACUUCAUUUCCCGGCCUGCUUUGCGUCUUAGUCGGAUUUUGCAGGUUUUGCACCCGUUUGGCAGAGGUCUUCUAAUGACCUUUGUGGCGGAGCAACUACAGCUCGAGUCACUGAGCUCCUGGUCCUGCUGGCAGGCUGUGGGGAAGGGAAAGGAAGAAGACGAGGUCCUAGCGAGGGACUUGGCCUUAUUGCUGAGAAGAAAAAGUAAGCUCACAGGAUGGAUGGUAGUGUAUUUUCAUCACUUCCUCCCACCCUGGAGGCUUCAUCCUCUAAAUCUAGUUUGCCUGUAAUUGUGCCCCGCUACCUUGGGAUGUGAUUAGUACUAUUCUUUGAUUGCAACUGGAGGAAUGAUAAUAAAACUUGCAGUUUCU
Long non-coding RNA from Microtus ochrogaster (prairie vole), 488 nucleotides. RefSeq lists it as uncharacterized. The record is from RefSeq and is a predicted model, not a curated record. NCBI's taxonomy places the organism in Eukaryota, Metazoa, Chordata, Mammalia, Rodentia, Cricetidae.